Molecule: RNA transcript, 1684 nt
Organism: Diospyros lotus (date-plum)
Lineage: Eukaryota; Viridiplantae; Streptophyta; Magnoliopsida; Ericales; Ebenaceae
Gene name: clathrin light chain 1-like
Exons: 4
Source: RefSeq, a predicted model, not a curated record
GCUUCAAAGUUAUGUGUCCAUCUUUCUCUCUCUCUUUCUUUUACACGUCGACUCAGGCACCGAGAGAGAGAGAGAGAGAGCGAGAAUCUAGAGAGAGGGGAAUCUAGAGAGAGAAAGGGGGAGAAAUGUCUUUCGACUCAUUCAGCCACGACGGCGAAGACAUGCUGAGGACUUCCAGCCAUCCUUUCGGAGACGACGACGGCGACGGCGGCUACGACAGCUACUCCGGUGGCUACACCUCAGCCGCGGAUCCACCGCCUUUCAGCGGCGGAUUCUCCGGCGGCUACGAGGAUCAUGUCCCUCACUCUGUGAACAGUCCUGAUGCUUUUGGAUUUGGCUCGGAUCCGAGCUCCGACUACGCACAGUCGUCGCCGUUCACUUCUUCGGUCCCUAUAUCGAACGGCAACGGCAAGGCCUACGACAUCAGCGAGGACACCGAUGGAAUUUUUGCUUCUGACGGGCCUGUGCUUCCUCCUCCGAAUGAAAUGCACGAGGAAGGGUUUGCUCUUCGCGAAUGGCGGAGUCAAAAUGCCAUACGGCUUGAGGAGAAGGAGAAGAGAGAGAAGGAGAUGCGAAUUCAGAUUAUAGAGGAGGCAGAAGAGUAUAAGCGAGCUUUCUAUGAUAAAAGAAAGCUCAACAUAGAGACUAACAAGACCACCAACAGAGAGAGAGAGAAGUUAUACUUGGAGAAUCAAGAUAAGUUCCAUAAAAAUGCGGAUAAAGAAUACUGGAAAGCGAUUGCAGAGCUCAUUCCUCGGGAAGUUCCCAAUAUCGAAAAGAAGAGAGGCAAGAAAGAACAAGAGAAGAAGCCAGGGAUCACAAUCAUUCAGGGCCCCAAGCCUGGGAAACCCACCGAUCUCUCGAGGAUGCGCCACAUGCUGCUGAAGCUGAAACACACGCCGCCGCCUCACAUGGUGCCUCCCCCGCCUGCUCCGGCCAAGGAUGCCAAAGAUGGAAAGGAUGCAAAAAAGGAUCCCAAGGGUGAGAAAAAUGCCAAAGAUGAGAAAAUAGCAGCACCAAAUCCAUCGGGAUCAGGGGCUACUCCUGUAAAGGAUGCGGACACCGAAUCAACGUCUAAAUCAGAAGAUUCUUCUGCUGCAGCCGAGGCCGAGCCUGUGGCUUGAAGAGUUCACAUUCGUUCAAUAUAGCCUGAUCGUCUACCAUACAAAAUUCCGGGCAACUUUUUUUAAUGAGUUCCGAUCCUAUUUUCAGUGGUUUAUUGUGUUGUCGGAUUUGCCAUUUUGUCACCUCUCUCUGUUACUGGGACCUCAUGGUUGUAUUUGGUUUGAGAUGUGUUUGUUCGUUAACAUCGGUCGUAGGUACAUACAUGCAUGUGGAUGGGGUGAAACAUGCUGGAGCUGGACUGCCUGCAGUUCCUGCAGAAAUUCGGCCGUCCCAUUAACUUUGGAAAUUUUUGGGGGGGAAAGCUCUGCUAUCAUUUUCUUGAGAAUGCUCUGUUUUUGUUUUUAAGCUCUAAAAAGACACAACGGUAUUAUUAUUAUUAUUUUACAUUUUAAAUCAAUCCUUUUGCUUUUUAAAAAAUUUAUUAUAUUUGGGGAGUUAUUGUUAGACAUCAUAAUUAAGUUUUGGUCAUGUACUACGCUCGAAAUAUGAUUCGAUUUGUAUUCUCAAAAAUGCCUUUUUAAAUGCUAAGAAAUGUAUUCAAAUAACUGUUUGUUGCAUU